CGAGAGCCUGACGGAGCAACGCCGCGUGAGGGAGGAAGGCCUGUGGGUUGUAAACCUCUUUUCUCAGGGAAGAAGUUCUGACGGUACCUGAGGAAUCAGCAUCGGCUAACUCCGUGCCAGCAGCCGCGGUAAGACGGAGGAUGCAAGCGUUAUCCGGAAUUAUUGGGCGUAAAGCGUCCGUAGGCGGCCUAUAAAGUCUGCUGUCAAAGCUCACAGCUCAACUGUGAAUCGGCAGUGGAAACUCAUAGGCUAGAGAGUGGUAGGGGUAGAGGGAAUUCCUAGUGUAGCGGUGAAAUGCGUAGAUAUUAGGAAGAACACCAGUGGCGAAGGCGCUCUACUGGGCCAUUACUGACGCUGAUGGACGAAAGCUAGGGGAGCG
RNAcentral lists this ribosomal RNA (379 nucleotides) under Leptolyngbya sp. CCMEE 6026. RNAcentral's name for it is "bacterial SSU rRNA". It matches the Rfam family "Bacterial small subunit ribosomal RNA", at positions 376 to 770 of the family's 1533-position model. Lineage: Bacteria; Bacillati; Cyanobacteriota; Cyanophyceae; Leptolyngbyales; Leptolyngbyaceae. The record is from RNAcentral.